AAAAUUUAGUUAAGAUAUAACAUCAAUUUGUCAAAUUGAAAUCAAUAUAAAAUAUUAAUUUUUA
Molecule: transfer RNA, 64 nt
Filed under: Philolithus sp. JR53
Lineage: Eukaryota; Metazoa; Arthropoda; Insecta; Coleoptera; Tenebrionidae
Also listed under: 1 other name
Description: tRNA-Asp
Source: RNAcentral